RNAcentral lists this ribosomal RNA (1343 nucleotides) under uncultured bacterium. Its description in RNAcentral is "16S ribosomal RNA". It matches the Rfam family "Bacterial small subunit ribosomal RNA", at positions 28 to 1378 of the family's 1533-position model. The record is from RNAcentral.
GACGAACGCUGGCGGCGUGCUUAACACAUGCAAGUCGAACGGAAAGGCCCUGCUUUUGUGGGGUGCUCGAGUGGCGAACGGGUGAGUAACACGUGAGUAACCUGCCCUUGACUUUGGGAUAACUUCAGGAAACUGGGGCUAAUACCGGAUAGGAGCUCCUGCUGCAUGGUGGGGGUUGGAAAGUUUCGGCGGUUGGGGAUGGACUCGCGGCUUAUCAGCUUGUUGGUGGGGUAGUGGCUUACCAAGGCUUUGACGGGUAGCCGGCCUGAGAGGGUGACCGGCCACAUUGGGACUGAGAUACGGCCCGGACUCCUACGGGAGGCAGCAGUGGGGAAUAUUGCACAAUGGGCGGAAGCCUGAUGCAGCAACGCCGCGUGCGGGAUGACGGCCUUCGGGUUGUAAACCGCUUUCGCCUGUGACGAAGCGUGAGUGACGGUAAUGGGUAAAGAAGCACCGGCUAACUACGUGCCAGCAGCCGCGGUGAUACGUAGGGUGCGAGCGUUGUCCGGAUUUAUUGGGCGUAAAGGGCUCGUAGGUGGUUGAUCGCGUCGGAAGUGUAAUCUUGGGGCUUAACCCUGAGCGUGCUUUCGAUACGGGUUGACUUGAGGAAGGUAGGGGAGAAUGGAAUUCCUGGUGGAGCGGUGGAAUGCGCAGAUAUCAGGAGGAACACCAGUGGCGAAGGCGGUUCUCUGGGCCUUUCCUGACGCUGAGGAGCGAAAGCGUGGGGAGCGAACAGGCUUAGAUACCCUGGUAGUCCACGCUGUAAACGGUGGGUACUAGGUGUGGGGUCCAUUCCACGGGUUCCGUGCCGUAGCUAACGCUUUAAGUACCCCGCCUGGGGAGUACGGCCGCAAGGCUAAAACUCAAAGGAAUUGACGGGGCCCCGCACAAGCGGCGGAGCAUGCGGAUUAAUUCGAUGCAACGCGUAGAACCUUACCUGGGUUUGACAUGGAUCGGGAGUGCUCAGAGAUGGGUGUGCCUCUUUUGGGGUCGGUUCACAGGUGGUGCAUGCCUGUCGUCAGCUCGUGUCGUGAGAUGUUGGGUUAAGUCCCGCAACGAGCGCAACCCUUGUUCACUGUUGCCAGCACGUUAUGGUGGGGACUCAAUGGAGACCGCCGGGGUCAACUCGGAGGAAGGUGGGGAUGACGUCAAGUCCUCAUGCCCCUUAUGUCCAGGGCUUCACGCAUGCUACAAUGGCUGGUACAGAGAGUGGCGAGCCUGUGAGGGUGAGCGAAUCUCGGAAAGCCGGUCUCAGUUCGGAUUGGGGUCUGCAACUCGACCUCAUGAAGUCGGAGUCGCUAGUAAUCGCAGAUCAGCAACGCUGCGGUGAAUACGUUCCCGGG